This is a long non-coding RNA of Lolium perenne, 3712 nucleotides long. RefSeq lists it as uncharacterized. The record is from RefSeq and is a predicted model, not a curated record. Lineage: Eukaryota; Viridiplantae; Streptophyta; Magnoliopsida; Poales; Poaceae.
CUUCUUAUCCCUGAAGCUCGGUCCUAUCAUCUUCCCCAGAGCAGUACAAAACCGUGGUCUUUCUUUUCCCAUCGGUUCCUCUUCGUCUCCCCACCAGAGUUUCUUGCAAGAGAAACUGACCCCAUUUAUUCUACGUCCUCAUCUUGGAUUUGCUCUCUCUUUUAAGCAGCGGAGCUGAUCCAUUCCGAUCCACCGUAGCGCUGCUUGGUGUACCACGCAUGUCAGACGAGAUAAACCUGCCUCACCAUUGUCGUUGGGCCGCCUUCGCUGCAUGCUAAUCUGCAUCCACGGCCGGCGGGUACAGCUUCCUCGCUUAUCAUCCAUCUUUGGUCCCCUAGCCUGUUGAUGCAUUCAUUAAUCUCCGAUGUUAGCAUGGAUUCUAGCCUCCUACCCAUCCAAUAGUUCAGGUACCAGAUUCAAGAUGUGUAGAUAUUGAUGGAGGAAGCAAUUAUGUUUUUCCUCCGCACUUAUUUGACUACAACAUCAGAUAACACUGUCUCUUUCUGUUGCAACAAUUAAAAGAUUCAGGAUAGGCUAUUGUUCAUGUUCUUUCGAAGUCAAAGUUGGAUGAUAUAAGAGUUUCCGGAAUGAUGCAUAAGCUCAUCUUUAUCUUCCGGUUCCAUUUCCUUUCCUCUGUCAGCUUUGAUGUAUAUCUGUUCUGGAUAACAAGAAUUAUGUGGAAUUCUACAGUUAAUCAUAUGUUGUUUGCAGACAGCCCAUCGCCACAGAUUUAGGCAAAUUAAAUUACCAUGUAUGUUCUCCACAUUUUCCUAUAACAGUUUAUAUCGUAUGGGGCUGGAACAUAGCAUGACUGAUUUCCUUCUGUUUGAUCGCCCAAGGCUCGCCCCAUCAAGGAAAUACUACUAUUCAGAGCUGGAUUUCUUUUCAGAUCACCAAUUCAGAGCCAUGUACAACUCUAAUAUGUCAUAUCACCAGUUGCACGUUUUAGAAAGCUGAACAGAAGUUUACUGGAACGGAAGUACGGAUUCCACCAUGCAUCAUGGCGAUUAGACGUCUAUGUCUCUGUCUCUGAAUUAUUAAGUACAACUGAGAUGAAUCAAGCUUUUCCAUAUUCGAGAAUCCUAAGUUGCUGAACGUCAGACCAUGGAACAUGCAAGAUAUUCUAUUCCCCCUCCAUUAGCAGAGCAGGCUGUUUUGCCGGCUAAUUUUACUGGAAAAGAAAAAUAGCUCAGCUGGGAGCUAGAUUGUGGCAUCUAUUUUGUACCAGCAGUUGCGACAUCAGUUCUCUUUACAUGCUUAACAUGCAAUUUCUCACUUCAUUGAUCUCUCGGUGGUACUUCUUAGCAAUAUGCUCAUAAUUUUUAACAAAUGUUCUCAUUGUUUACAUAUUGGACAGCUAUUCUUUUUCUCGCAUUCUUCUUUUAACCAUAGUGAUCCUAUAUGUAGACAAGGUAGGCUCCACUUAAUAUCUUACAAUUUAAAUAUUGCCAUUUCCGUUUCCUUAUUCAUAAAUUACUUCCACUGACCUAUCUACUUCUCACUUGGGCGGUGUUUGAGUUCCAGCAUAACUGGAAUUUGGUAUUUUCAGUUAGUCAUAUUUUACAAAUAUUUAUAUUUCAAUUUCCUUAUUCAUAAAUUGUGUAUCUAGACUACUAUUCACCAAUCACUCGAACUGUACUUAAUUUCCAUCAUAAUUUGAAUGUUUAUUUUCAGUCACACAUCAGUGCUAUAGAUGAACUAUGUGGAGCUUCGCCUAUGGUUACCGUCUGCCAAGUUCCCAUACAAAGAUAUUGUGGUUGUUUGCACAAGUAAACUUAUUGAGAGUGCAAUCUUCUUAUUUGUAUGUGCACUGUUAAUAUGUGUGAACACCAUUCAUUUUUCGUUUAUUCACAUAUUGACUAAUCAUCUUAUAUUGUAUUGUCCAGUUAUAUUUCUAAAUUUUCUUCUUUAAACGUUCGUUCCCAAUAUUAUCCACGGCUGACCGCCGCAACGUGCGGGGUAUCAUCUAGUUUCUCUAGACAUGCAACCAUGCCACCUCAUCGGGCCCACCACUAAGCUAUUGCUCUAGGCACUUUUUUUUUGUUCCUUUUCUUUGAGAAAUUUCGGUGCAGUCAUGGCUCCUUGCGUGUAGUCAUGGCUCCUGAGAUUAAUACGCCCUACAAUCAUAAUGCCCAUUACGAUGGCUCACAGCCAACCCACAAUUGUUUCUCCUCUCCACCGACUACCGUCUCCUUUCAAUCAGUCCACGUUACCUCUUCCUCUCCCCUCGCGAGAAACACCCGAAGUGGGAAUUGAUGCAGGUAUAUGAGAGGUUUGCGCAGGAUCGCCCUUCCCCCUAUAAAUUCUAUGACGUGCCUCGAUUGUUUGCAUCGCUCUCCCCGCUAUAAAUUCUAUGAUAUGCCUCGAUUGUCUGCAUCGAUUCCUCUCCUCUCGCAGUCCAGAACGACACCCGUGGAACUCAUCAUGAUCCGCCAUGGCUGCUACAAGGUUAGCGGCCGCUACGGAGUCCUGACACGAUGAGGAGAAGAAUGGUGACAGCAGGGGAGCCAAGACUCAUCAUCUGUAUCCCCUACACGCAAGUGAAUUUUGGGGGCCAACACUCAUCCGUAUCUCCAGUACAUAGGUUAUACUGAUGUAUGCUCUGUGACAUUGAUGUUACGAACUUGCAAACUGAGAUUGCAUUAGAGUACUACCUUCAUUCAGGCUUUUCACUCCAAGGUCGCAAAUGGAAUUCUCCAUAUUCCUUACUCAGAUUCAGGUUAUCUCAAGCCAGUUAAGCCAUACAUUUUGUGAUUUGUUACUAUCUAUUUUGUCACAGCUUUUUUAGCAACUGGAUAUUGGAUCUAAUUUCUAUCGGUUCUUCAAUUUGCAUCGGUAAAUCUCUGGACGCUUAUAUUUCCCAAGGGAAGUUGAACACGUUCUCUAAAGUGGCAUAUAAGGCUCUUUUUCAGGCCACAUAUAUGAUAAUACUUGAUUGUUGAUGUAUCAGCCUGCAAAAGAAGGAUGCUACAGGUUACUGAAUUUAUUUAAUUUUCUGCUGAUACAACAACAAGAUUGUCAAACCAGGGAGCAAAGAAGGAAAUCUAUUUGUGUCAUACUUUGGGUACUAAGCUGGUGCUGAGACAAUAUAUGCAUGUCGUAAUCUGAAAGGGAAUGAACUUGAGUUCAAAUAUCUAAAGAAUGGCCAAGGUCAUCUCAAAAUAGUUCCAGCCGCCUCGAACAUGUAAUCUGAAUUGUUUUUCCUAUAUUUUGUCGGAUCCAUCAGGUCGCUUUGCUUCAACCAUGCCAUCAUGAGUGGUAAAUUGGCAUCAGUAGUUCAGAACUGACAUACCAGUUUCAGGCUUUCAGCAUGCUUCUCUCCAUGGGGUAGAGUUUGAACGCCUUGAUAAUAAAAAUUACAGUUGGCGUAGCCUUCUCUUGCCUGGUACUACUUUUAUUUGGACGACUUUGUAAAUUUUCUUGGCGAUCAAGAUAUAUGAUGUGAUGCCCAAAAUGCAUUUGCAUCCAUGAAAACGAACUAUGUAGAAAAAGAUAGAUGUCCUACAUUUAUGCGUGCAAAAACAGUUACCUUACAUUAUUUGCAUUACUAGGAUUAUUUUUUCCAUCACUACAAUGAUACUCAACAGGUCAGCGUGGAUGGACUGGUUGAAGAGUCUAGAUGAUGUCAUUCUUUGAUCAAUAUUAUGACACAUGUUUAUUUAGUACAGGUGUUAGCUAAUUGUCCAUCAUACAGGAGUAUACAGCUAGCUAU